AUUGAACGCUGGCGGCAUGCUUUACACAUGCAAGUCGAACGGUAACAGGUUAAGCUGACGAGUGGCGAACGGGUGAGUAAUGUAUCGGAACGUGCCCAGUCGUGGGGGAUAACGUAGCGAAAGCUACGCUAAUACCGCAUACGAUCUCUGGAUGAAAGCGGGGGACCGCAAGGCCUCGCGCGAUUGGAGCGGCCGAUAUCAGAUUAGGUAGUUGGUGGGGUAAAGGCCCACCAAGCCAACGAUCUGUAGCUGGUCUGAGAGGACGACCAGCCACACUGGGACUGAGACACAGCCCAGACUCCUACGGGAGGCAGUAGUGGGGAAUUUUGGACAAUGGGGGCAACCCUGAUCCAGCAAUGCCGCGUACAGGAAGAAGGCCUUCGGGUUGUAAACUGCUUUUGUACGGAACGAAAAGGCUCUGGUUAAUACCAGGGGCUCAUGACGGUACCGUAAGAAUAAGCACCGGCUAACUACGUGCCAGCAGCCGCGGUAA
Molecule: ribosomal RNA, 493 nt
Filed under: uncultured bacterium
Lineage: Bacteria
Description: partial 16S ribosomal RNA
Rfam family: Bacterial small subunit ribosomal RNA
Source: RNAcentral